CUCUGAUGACAGUGCUAAGAUUGGUAGAUAUAGAAUUGUUUGAUUGUUUGUAUUGUUGCUUUUUUGUUAUCACUCUGUAUCAGUAAACUCACCUAUUAUCAGCUGACAGGUAUAGUGGUUGGGCUGAGGAA
Long non-coding RNA from Gavialis gangeticus (Gharial), 131 nucleotides. RefSeq lists it as uncharacterized. NCBI's taxonomy places the organism in Eukaryota, Metazoa, Chordata, Crocodylia, Gavialidae. The record is from RefSeq and is a predicted model, not a curated record. The transcript has 3 exons.